Ostrinia nubilalis (European corn borer) is the source of this 262-nucleotide long non-coding RNA. RefSeq lists it as uncharacterized. The record is from RefSeq and is a predicted model, not a curated record. Lineage: Eukaryota; Metazoa; Arthropoda; Insecta; Lepidoptera; Crambidae. The transcript is spliced from 3 exons.
UCGCGCGGCUCGCUUGGCACGUGAUCAUUUGCACGAUGCAAGGAGACGUGCUGCGGCCGAGAUGCUGUAUGAGAGAUUCGCUGCAAUUGGUCAAAGUGAUAUUGGUGAGCAGCUUAGGGCUGCACUAACGGACGGUUACAGCGGGGACGAAGAAGCAGCAGGUCCAUCAAAUGAGUACCAGGAGGAGGAAGAAGUGGCAGUGACUCAAGUGCGAGAGAGUUCCGAAGACGCAGAAGGCGCGGCAUUAGAGCGACUAGCGCGC